RNAcentral lists this long non-coding RNA (9381 nucleotides) under Anthonomus grandis grandis. RNAcentral's name for it is "uncharacterized LOC126740357". The record is from RNAcentral. Lineage: Eukaryota; Metazoa; Arthropoda; Insecta; Coleoptera; Curculionidae.
CUGUGGCUUUUGACCGCGUUUGUUUAUUCGUAAAUAUAUUUGUAUAUCGUAGAAGUGAUAUAUUAGUGAUAUGAAGUAUAUAAAAAAAUAUGCUCGGAUCCUGUUAUAACCCGGUGUUUUCGUAAUCUAGGUGACCCAAAUAAGACGCUGGUAUACUUAGUUUGAUUUCGAAAAAAAUCAAUUUUUGAUGGAAAAAUUCGAUACGGGGGGGUAUACCCGAAAAAUGAAAAUAUCCAAACUUUGAAGGUCGAUAUCUCGGCUUCUAUGGGAGCUAUCGGGAAAAUUUCAACGGUUUUGUCUUAGUUUCGUCGUCCUGAAUCCAACGAGACCAUCCGCAAGGUCGUAGCUCUUCUAAUAGCUGAGAUAUGGCAUUUUUGAUGCCCAUUUUUGGCCUCAAAAACGGACGUCGAAAACGACUUUUUCAGGAUUUUCAAAGUGCUCUCAUUCCCUUAGUUCUGCUCGGAUCCUGUUAUAACCCGGUGUUUUCGUAAUCUAGGCGACCCAAAUAAGACGCUGGUAUACUUAGUUUGAUUUCGAAAAAAAUCAAUUUUUGAUGGAAAAAUUCGAUACGGGGGGGUAUACCCGAAAAAUGAAAAUAUCCAAACUUUGAAGGUCGAUAUCUCGGCUUCUAUGGGAGCUAUCGGGAAAAUUUCAACGGUUUUGUCUUAGUUUCGUCGUCCUGAAUCCAACGAGACCUUCCGCAAGGUCGUAGCUCUUCUAAUAGCUGAGAUAUGGCAUUUUUGAUGCCCAUUUUUGGCCUCAAAAACGGACGUCGAAAACGACUUUUUCAGGAUUUUCAAAGUGCUCUCAUUCCCUUAGUUCUGCUCGGAUCCUGUUAUAACCCGGUGUUUUCGUAAUCUAGGCGACCCAAAUAAGACGCUGGUAUACUUAGUUUGAUUUCGAAAAAAAUCAAUUUUUGAUGAAAAAAUUCGAUACGGGGGGGUAUACCCGAAAAAUGAAAAUAUCCAAACUUUGAAGGUCGAUAUCUCGGCUUCUAUGGGAGCUAUCGGGAAAAUUUCAACGGUUUUGUCUUAGUUUCGUCGUCCUGAAUCCAACGAGACCAUCCGCAAGGUCGUAGCUCUUCUAAUAGCUGAGAUAUGGCAUUUUUGAUGCCCAUUUUUGGCCUCAAAAACGGACGUCGAAAACGACUUUUUCAGGAUUUUCAAAGUGCUCUCAUUCCCUUAGUUCUGCUCGGAUCCUGUUAUAACCCGGUGUUUUCGUAAUCUAGGCGACCCAAAUAAGACGCUGGUAUACUUAGUUUGAUUUCGAAAAAAAUCAAUUUUUGAUGGAAAAAUUCGAUACGGGGGGGUAUACCCGAAAAGUGAAAAAACCCAAACUUUGAAGGUCGAUAUCUCGGCUUCUAUGGGAGCUAUCGGGAAAAUUUCAACGGUUUUGUCUUAGUUUCGUCGUCCUGAAUCCAACGAGACCUUCCGCAAGGUCGUAGCUCUUCUAAUAGCUGAGAUAUGGCAUUUUUGAUGCCCAUUUUUGGCCUCAAAAACGGACGUCGAAAACGACUUUUUCAGGAUUUUCAAAGUGCUCUCAUUCCCUUAGUUCUGCUCGGAUCCUGUUAUAACCCGGUGUUUUCGUAAUCUAGGCGACCCAAAUAAGACGCUGGUAUACUUAGUUUGAUUUCGAAAAAAAUCAAUUUUUGAUGAAAAAAUUCGAUACGGGGGGGUAUACCCGAAAAAUGAAAAUAUCCAAACUUUGAAGGUCGAUAUCUCGGCUUCUAUGGGAGCUAUCGGGAAAAUUUCAACGGUUUUGUCUUAGUUUCGUCGUCCUGAAUCCAACGAGACCAUCCGCAAGGUCGUAGCUCUUCUAAUAGCUGAGAUAUGGCAUUUUUGAUGCCCAUUUUUGGCCUCAAAAACGGACGUCGAAAACGACUUUUUCAGGAUUUUCAAAGUGCUCUCAUUCCCUUAGUUCUGCUCGGAUCCUGUUAUAACCCGGUGUUUUCGUAAUCUAGGCGACCCAAAUAAGACGCUGGUAUACUUAGUUUGAUUUCGAAAAAAAUCAAUUUUUGAUGGAAAAAUUCGAUACGGGGGGGUAUACCCGAAAAGUGAAAAAACCCAAACUUUGAAGGUCGAUAUCUCGGCUUCUAUGGGAGCUAUCGGGAAAAUUUCAACGGUUUUGUCUUAGUUUCGUCGUCCUGAAUCCAACGAGACCAUCCGCAAGGUCGUAGCUCUUCUAAUAGCUGAGAUAUGGCAUUUUUGAUGCCCAUUUUUGGCCUCAAAAACGGACGUCGAAAACGACUUUUUCAGGAUUUUCAAAGUGCUCUCAUUCCCUUAGUUCUGCUCGGAUCCUGUUAUAACCCGGUGUUUUCGUAAUCUAGGCGACCCAAAUAAGACGCUGGUAUACUUAGUUUGAUUUCGAAAAAAAUCAAUUUUUGAUGAAAAAAUUCGAUACGGGGGGGUAUACCCGAAAAAUGAAAAUAUCCAAACUUUGAAGGUCGAUAUCUCGGCUUCUAUGGGAGCUAUCGGGAAAAUUUCAACGGUUUUGUCUUAGUUUCGUCGUCCUGAAUCCAACGAGACCAUCCGCAAGGUCGUAGCUCUUCUAAUAGCUGAGAUAUGGCAUUUUUGAUGCCCAUUUUUGGCCUCAAAAACGGACGUCGAAAACGACUUUUUCAGGAUUUUCAAAGUGCUCUCAUUCCCUUAGUUCUGCUCGGAUCCUGUUAUAACCCGGUGUUUUCGUAAUCUAGGCGACCCAAAUAAGACGCUGGUAUACUUAGUUUGAUUUCGAAAAAAAUCAAUUUUUGAUGAAAAAAUUCGAUACGGGGGGGUAUACCCGAAAAAUGAAAAUAUCCAAACUUUGAAGGUCGAUAUCUCGGCUUCUAUGGGAGCUAUCGGGAAAAUUUCAACGGUUUUGUCUUAGUUUCGUCGUCCUGAAUCCAACGAGACCAUCCGCAAGGUCGUAGCUCUUCUAAUAGCUGAGAUAUGGCAUUUUUGAUGCCCAUUUUUGGCCUCAAAAACGGACGUCGAAAACGACUUUUUCAGGAUUUUCAAAGUGCUCUCAUUCCCUUAGUUCUGCUCGGAUCCUGUUAUAACCCGGUGUUUUCGUAAUCUAGGCGACCCAAAUAAGACGCUGGUAUACUUAGUUUGAUUUCGAAAAAAAUCAAUUUUUGAUGGAAAAAUUCGAUACGGGGGGGUAUACCCGAAAAGUGAAAAAACCCAAACUUUGAAGGUCGAUAUCUCGGCUUCUAUGGGAGCUAUCGGGAAAAUUUCAACGGUUUUGUCUUAGUUUCGUCGUCCUGAAUCCAACGAGACCAUCCGCAAGGUCGUAGCUCUUCUAAUAGCUGAGAUAUGGCAUUUUUGAUGCCCAUUUUUGGCCUCAAAAACGGACGUCGAAAACGACUUUUUCAGGAUUUUCAAAGUGCUCUCAUUCCCUUAGUUCUGCUCGGAUCCUGUUAUAACCCGGUGUUUUCGUAAUCUAGGCGACCCAAAUAAGACGCUGGUAUACUUAGUUUGAUUUCGAAAAAAAUCAAUUUUUGAUGAAAAAAUUCGAUACGGGGGGGUAUACCCGAAAAAUGAAAAUAUCCAAACUUUGAAGGUCGAUAUCUCGGCUUCUAUGGGAGCUAUCGGGAAAAUUUCAACGGUUUUGUCUUAGUUUCGUCGUCCUGAAUCCAACGAGACCAUCCGCAAGGUCGUAGCUCUUCUAAUAGCUGAGAUAUGGCAUUUUUGAUGCCCAUUUUUGGCCUCAAAAACGGACGUCGAAAACGACUUUUUCAGGAUUUUCAAAGUGCUCUCAUUCCCUUAGUUCUGCUCGGAUCCUGUUAUAACCCGGUGUUUUCGUAAUCUAGGCGACCCAAAUAAGACGCUGGUAUACUUAGUUUGAUUUCGAAAAAAAUCAAUUUUUGAUGGAAAAAUUCGAUACGGGGGGGUAUACCCGAAAAGUGAAAAAACCCAAACUUUGAAGGUCGAUAUCUCGGCUUCUAUGGGAGCUAUCGGGAAAAUUUCAACGGUUUUGUCUUAGUUUCGUCGUCCUGAAUCCAACGAGACCAUCCGCAAGGUCGUAGCUCUUCUAAUAGCUGAGAUAUGGCAUUUUUGAUGCCCAUUUUUGGCCUCAAAAACGGACGUCGAAAACGACUUUUUCAGGAUUUUCAAAGUGCUCUCAUUCCCUUAGUUCUGCUCGGAUCCUGUUAUAACCCGGUGUUUUCGUAAUCUAGGCGACCCAAAUAAGACGCUGGUAUACUUAGUUUGAUUUCGAAAAAAAUCAAUUUUUGAUGGAAAAAUUCGAUACGGGGGGGUAUACCCGAAAAAUGAAAAUAUCCAAACUUUGAAGGUCGAUAUCUCGGCUUCUAUGGGAGCUAUCGGGAAAAUUUCAACGGUUUUGUCUUAGUUUCGUCGUCCUGAAUCCAACGAGACCAUCCGCAAGGUCGUAGCUCUUCUAAUAGCUGAGAUAUGGCAUUUUUGAUGCCCAUUUUUGGCCUCAAAAACGGACGUCGAAAACGACUUUUUCAGGAUUUUCAAAGUGCUCUCAUUCCCUUAGUUCUGCUCGGAUCCUGUUAUAACCCGGUGUUUUCGUAAUCUAGGCGACCCAAAUAAGACGCUGGUAUACUUAGUUUGAUUUCGAAAAAAAUCAAUUUUUGAUGAAAAAAUUCGAUACGGGGGGGUAUACCCGAAAAAUGAAAAUAUCCAAACUUUGAAGGUCGAUAUCUCGGCUUCUAUGGGAGCUAUCGGGAAAAUUUCAACGGUUUUGUCUUAGUUUCGUCGUCCUGAAUCCAACGAGACCAUCCGCAAGGUCGUAGCUCUUCUAAUAGCUGAGAUAUGGCAUUUUUGAUGCCCAUUUUUGGCCUCAAAAACGGACGUCGAAAACGACUUUUUCAGGAUUUUCAAAGUGCUCUCAUUCCCUUAGUUCUGCUCGGAUCCUGUUAUAACCCGGUGUUUUCGUAAUCUAGGCGACCCAAAUAAGACGCUGGUAUACUUAGUUUGAUUUCGAAAAAAAUCAAUUUUUGAUGGAAAAAUUCGAUACGGGGGGGUAUACCCGAAAAGUGAAAAAACCCAAACUUUGAAGGUCGAUAUCUCGGCUUCUAUGGGAGCUAUCGGGAAAAUUUCAACGGUUUUGUCUUAGUUUCGUCGUCCUGAAUCCAACGAGACCAUCCGCAAGGUCGUAGCUCUUCUAAUAGCUGAGAUAUGGCAUUUUUGAUGCCCAUUUUUGGCCUCAAAAACGGACGUCGAAAACGACUUUUUCAGGAUUUUCAAAGUGCUCUCAUUCCCUUAGUUCUGCUCGGAUCCUGUUAUAACCCGGUGUUUUCGUAAUCUAGGCGACCCAAAUAAGACGCUGGUAUACUUAGUUUGAUUUCGAAAAAAAUCAAUUUUUGGUGAAAAAUUUCGAUACGGGGGGGUAUACCCGAAAAGUGAAAAAACCCAAACUUUGAAGGUCGAUAUCUCGGCUUCUAUAGGAGCUAUCGGGAAAAUUUCAACGGUUUUGUCUUAGUUUCGUCGUCCUAAAUCCAACGAGACCAUCCGCAAGGUCGUAGCUCUUCUAAUAGCUGAGAUAUGGCAUUUUUGAUGCCCAUUUUUGGCCUCAAAAACGGACGUCGAAAACGACUUUUUCAGGAUUUUCAAAGUGCUCUCAUUCCCUUAGUUCUGCUCGGAUCCUGUUAUAACCCGGUGUUUUCGUAAUCUAGGCGACCCAAAUAAGACGCUGGUAUACUUAGUUUGAUUUCGAAAAAAAUCAAUUUUUGGUGAAAAAUUUCGAUACGGGGGGGUAUACCCGAAAAGUGAAAAAACCCAAACUUUGAAGGUCGAUAUCUCGGCUUCUAUAGGAGCUAUCGGGAAAAUUUCAACGGUUUUGUCUUAGUUUCGUCGUCCUGAAUCCAACGAGACCAUCCGCAAGGUCGUAGCUCUUCUAAAAGCUGAGAUAUGGCAUUUUUGAUGCCCAUUUUUGGCCUCAAAAACGGACGUCGAAAACGACUUUUUCAGGAUUUUCAAAGUGCUCUCAUUCCCUUAGUUCUGCUCGGAUCCUGUUAUAACCCGGUGUUUUCGUAAUCUAGGCGACCCAAAUAAGACGCUGGUAUACUUAGUUUGAUUUCGAAAAAAAUCAAUUUUUGAUGAAAAAAUUCGAUACGGGGGGGUAUACCCGAAAAAUGAAAAUAUCCAAACUUUGAAGGUCGAUAUCUCGGCUUCUAUGGGAGCUAUCGGGAAAAUUUCAACGGUUUUGUCUUAGUUUCGUCGUCCUAAAUCCAACGAGACCAUCCGCAAGGUCGUAGCUCUUCUAAUAGCUGAGAUAUGGCAUUUUUGAUGCCCAUUUUUGGCCUCAAAAACGGACGUCGAAAACGACUUUUUCAGGAUUUUCAAAGUGCUCUCAUUCCCUUAGUUCUGCUCGGAUCCUGUUAUAACCCGGUGUUUUCGUAAUCUAGGCGACCCAAAUAAGACGCUGGUAUACUUAGUUUGAUUUCGAAAAAAAUCAAUUUUUGGUGAAAAAUUUCGAUACGGGGGGGUAUACCCGAAAAGUGAAAAAACCCAAACUUUGAAGGUCGAUAUCUCGGCUUCUAUAGGAGCUAUCGGGAAAAUUUCAACGGUUUUGUCUUAGUUUCGUCGUCCUGAAUCCAACGAGACCAUCCGCAAGGUCGUAGCUCUUCUAAUAGCUGAGAUAUGGCAUUUUUGAUGCCCAUUUUUGGCCUCAAAAACGGACGUCGAAAACGACUUUUUCAGGAUUUUCAAAGUGCUCUCAUUCUCUUAGUUCUGCCCGGAUCCUGUUAUAACCCGGUGUUUCGUAAUCUAGGUGACCCAAAUAAGACGUUGGUAUACUUAGUUUGAUUUCGAAAAAAAUCAAUUUUUGAUGAAAAAAUUCGAUACGGGGGGGUAUACCCGAAUAAUGAAAAUAUCCAAACUUUGAAGGUCGAUAUCUCGGCUUCUAUGGGAGCUAUCGGGAAAAUUCCAACGGUUUUGUCUUAGUUUCGUCGUUCUGAAUCCAACGAGACCAUCCGCAAGGUCGUAGCUCUUCUAAUAGCUGAGAUAUGGCAUUUUUGAUGCCCAUUUUUGGCCUCAAAAACGGACGUCGAAAACGACUUUUUCAGGAUUUUCAAAGUGCUCUCAUUCCCUUAGUUCUGCUCGGAUCCUGUUAUAACCCGGUGUUUUCGUAAUCUAGGUGACCCAAAUAAGACGUUGGUAUACUUAGUUUGAUUUCGAAAAAAAUCAAUUUUUGAUGAAAAAAUUCGAUACGGGGGGUAUACCCGAAUAAUGAAAAUAUCCAAACUUUGAAGGUCGAUAUCUCGGCUUCUAUGGGAGCUAUCGGGAAAAUUUCAACGGUUUUGUCUUAGUUUCGUCGUCCUGAAUCCAACGAGACCAUCCGCAAGGUCGUAGCUCUUCUAAUAGCUGAGAUAUGGCAUUUUUGAUGCCCAUUUUCGGCCUCAAAAACGGACGUCGAAAACGACUUUUUCAGGAUUUUCAAAGUGCUCUCAUUCUCUUAGUUCUGCCCGGAUCCUGUUAUAACCCGGUGUUUCGUAAUCUAGGUGACCCAAAUAAGACGUUGGUAUACUUAGUUUGAUUUCGAAAAAAAUCAAUUUUUGAUGAAAAAAUUCGAUACGGGGGGUAUACCCGAAUAAUGAAAAUAUCCAAACUUUGAAGGUCGAUAUCUCGGCUUCUAUGGGAGCUAUCGGGAAAAUUUCAACGGUUUUGUCUUAGUUUCGUCGUCCUGAAUCCAACGAGACCAUCCGCAAGGUCGUAGCUCUUCUAAUAGCUGAGAUAUGGCAUUUUUGAUGCCCAUUUUUGGCCUCAAAAACGGACGUCGAAAACGACUUUUUCAGGAUUUUCAAAGUGCUCUCAUUCCCUUAGUUCUGCUCGGAUCCUGUUAUAACCCGGUGUUUUCGUAAUCUAGGUGACCCAAAUAAGACGUUGGUAUACUUAGUUUGAUUUCGAAAAAAAUCAAUUUUUGAUGAAAAAAUUCGAUACGGGGGGGUAUACCCGAAUAAUGAAAAUAUCCAAACUUUGAAGGUCGAUAUCUCGGCUUCUAUGGGAGCUAUCGGGAAAAUUCCAACGGUUUUGUCUUAGUUUCGUCGUUCUGAAUCCAACGAGACCAUCCGCAAGGUCGUAGCUCUUCUAAUAGCUGAGAUAUGGCAUUUUUGAUGCCCAUUUUUGGCCUCAAAAACGGACGUCGAAAACGACUUUUUCAGGAUUUUCAAAGUGCUCUCAUUCCCUUAGUUCUGCUCGGAUCCUGUUAUAACCCGGUGUUUUCGUAAUCUAGGUGACCCAAAUAAGACGUUGGUAUACUUAGUUUGAUUUCGAAAAAAAUCAAUUUUUGAUGAAAAAAUUCGAUACGGGGGGUAUACCCGAAUAAUGAAAAUAUCCAAACUUUGAAGGUCGAUAUCUCGGCUUCUAUGGGAGCUAUCGGGAAAAUUUCAACGGUUUUGUCUUAGUUUCGUCGUCCUGAAUCCAACGAGACCAUCCGCAAGGUCGUAGCUCUUCUAAUAGCUGAGAUAUGGCAUUUUUGAUGCCCAUUUUCGGCCUCAAAAACGGACGUCGAAAACGACUUUUUCAGGAUUUUCAAAGUGCUCUCAUUCUCUUAGUUCUGCCCGGAUCCUGUUAUAACCCGGUGUUUCGUAAUCUAGGUGACCCAAAUAAGACGUUGGUAUACUUAGUUUGAUUUCGAAAAAAAUCAAUUUUUGAUGAAAAAAUUCGAUACGGGGGGGUAUACCCGAAUAAUGAAAAUAUCCAAACUUUGAAGGUCGAUAUCUCGGCUUCUAUGGGAGCUAUCGGGAAAAUUCCAACGGUUUUGUCUUAGUUUCGUCGUUCUGAAUCCAACGAGACCAUCCGCAAGGUCGUAGCUCUUCUAAUAGCUGAGAUAUGGCAUUUUUGAUGCCCAUUUUUGGCCUCAAAAACGGACGUCGAAAACGACUUUUUCAGGAUUUUCAAAGUGCUCUCAUUCCCUUAGUUCUGCUCGGAUCCUGUUAUAACCCGGUGUUUUCGUAAUCUAGGUGACCCAAAUAAGACGUUGGUAUACUUAGUUUGAUUUCGAAAAAAAUCAAUUUUUGAUGAAAAAAUUCGAUACGGGGGGUAUACCCGAAUAAUGAAAAUAUCCAAACUUUGAAGGUCGAUAUCUCGGCUUCUAUGGGAGCUAUCGGGAAAAUUUCAACGGUUUUGUCUUAGUUUCGUCGUCCUGAAUCCAACGAGACCAUCCGCAAGGUCGUAGCUCUUCUAAUAGCUGAGAUAUGGCAUUUUUGAUGCCCAUUUUCGGCCUCAAAAACGGACGUCGAAAACGACUUUUUCAGGAUUUUCAAAGUGCUCUCAUUCCCUUAGUUCUGCCCGGAUCCUGUUAUAACCCGGUGUUUUCGUAAUCUAGGUGACCCAAAUAAGACGUUGGUAUACUUAGUUUGAUUUCGAAAAAAAUCAAUUUUUGAUGAAAAAAUUCGAUACGGGGGGGUAUACCCGAAUAAUAAAAAUAUCCAAA